Molecule: ribosomal RNA, 450 nt
Filed under: uncultured bacterium
Lineage: Bacteria
Description: partial 16S ribosomal RNA
Rfam family: Bacterial small subunit ribosomal RNA
Source: RNAcentral
CCUACGGGUGGCUGCAGUAGGGAAUAUUGGACAAUGGGUGCGAGCCUGAUCCAGCCAUGCCGCGUGCAGGAAGAAGGCGUUAUGCGUUGUAAACUGCUUUUGCCAGGGGAUAAAAUAACUGUGCGCAGUUGAUUGAAGGUACCUGGUGAAUAAGCCACGGCUAACUACGUGCCAGCAGCCGCGGUAAUACGUAGGUGGCAAGGGUUGUCCGGGUUUAUUGGGUUUAAAGGGUGCGUAGUAAGCCCGUGGUGAAAUAUCUCAGCUUAACUGAGAGGGUGCCAUUGAUACUGCGGGGCUUGAGUACAGAUGAGGUAGGCGGAACUGACGGUGUAGCGGUGAAAUGCAUAGAUAUCGUCAAGAACACCGGUAGCGAAGGCAGCUUACCAAGCUGUAACUGACGCUGAGGCACGAGAGUGUGGGGAUCAAACAGGAUUAGAUACCCCAGUAGUC